This is a non-coding RNA of Pan troglodytes (chimpanzee), 155 nucleotides long. It matches the Rfam family "Metazoan signal recognition particle RNA", at positions 96 to 252 of the family's 299-position model. From Rfam's summary of the family: The signal recognition particle (SRP) is a universally conserved ribonucleoprotein. It is involved in the co-translational targeting of proteins to membranes. The record is from Rfam. Lineage: Eukaryota; Metazoa; Chordata; Mammalia; Primates; Hominidae.
UGCCGACCGGGUUUCUGCGUUAAGUUCGGCAUCAAAACGGUGACCUGGGAGUAGAGGGGCCACCAGGUUGCCUAAGGAUGGGUGAACUGGCCCAAGUCAGAAAUGAAGCAGGUCAGAACUCCCCUGCCGGGCAGUAGUGGAACUGAGCUUAGGCA